RNAcentral lists this non-coding RNA (30 nucleotides) under Mus musculus (house mouse). Lineage: Eukaryota; Metazoa; Chordata; Mammalia; Rodentia; Muridae. The record is from RNAcentral.
UAUAUUAUGAUUACACUUCUCUCACCUGCC